GACGAACGCUGGCGGCGUGCCUAAUACAUGCAAGUCGAACGAGAGCAACCGGUGCUUGCUCUGGUCAAUCUAGUGGCGAACGGGUGAGUAACACGUGGGUAACCUGCCCAUCAGAGGGGGAUAACAUCCGGAAACGGAUGCUAAAACCGCAUAGGUCUUCGAACCGCAUGGUUUGAAGAGGAAAAGAGGCGCAAGCUUCUGCUGAUGGAUGGACCCGCGGUGCAUUAGCUAGUUGGUGAGGUAACGGCUCACCAAGGCCGUGAUGCAUAGCCGACCUGAGAGGGUGAUCGGCCACAUUGGGACUGAGACACGGCCCAAACUCCUACGGGAGGCAGCAGUAGGGAAUCUUCCGCAAUGGACGCAAGUCUGACGGAGCAACGCCGCGUGAGUGAAGAAGGUUUUCGGAUCGUAAAACUCUGUUGUUAGAGAAGAACAAGUGCUAGAGUAACUGUUAGCGCCUUGACGGUAUCUAACCAGAAAGCCACGGCUAACUACGUG
This 498-nucleotide ribosomal RNA is filed under the name uncultured bacterium. RNAcentral's name for it is "partial 16S ribosomal RNA". It matches the Rfam family "Bacterial small subunit ribosomal RNA", at positions 28 to 507 of the family's 1533-position model. The record is from RNAcentral.